CCGAUGGAGGGGGAUAACUACUGGAAACGGUAGCUAAUACCGCAUAACGUCGCAAGACCAAAGAGGGGGACCUUAGGGCCUCUUGCCAUCGGAUGUGCCCAGAUGGGAUUAGCUAGUAGGUGGGGUAAUGGCUCACCUAGGCGACGAUCCCUAGCUGGUCUGAGAGGAUGAUCAGCCACACUGGGACUGAGACACGGCCCAG
Molecule: ribosomal RNA, 202 nt
Filed under: uncultured bacterium
Lineage: Bacteria
Description: partial 16S ribosomal RNA
Rfam family: Bacterial small subunit ribosomal RNA
Source: RNAcentral